Molecule: long non-coding RNA, 445 nt
Filed under: Mus musculus (house mouse)
Lineage: Eukaryota; Metazoa; Chordata; Mammalia; Rodentia; Muridae
Description: long non-coding RNA chr14:51753504-51753949
Source: RNAcentral
UCGUGGGUCUGAAGCUGCUUGAGUCCCGAAUUUGUCUCCUGCUGCUUCUGGGACUUGUCCUAAUGCUUGCCUCAUGCCAGCCACCAACCCCUUCAAAUCUAGCAUUUCUAUAAUAGCGCCUAUCCCCGAUGUGAUGAUGCAAUGAGGGUCAUUAACACUUAUACAAGAAUGUGUAAAGACACGAAUACUUUUCUUCAUACAACUUUGGCUGAUGUUGUUGGUGUGUGUGGCAAUCCAAAUUCCACCUGCAAAGACGAGAUAAGUAGAGAUUGUCAUGAUAGUUCAUCUCGGGUAUCUGUAAAUUUCCUCACAACUCCAGCAAGCCAUUAUAUGGAAUGGAGAUACCAAGCGACACGAUCAGUGAAGUAAUACAGAGUGGCCUGUGAGAACAGAACUUCAUUGGACACUCCCACCUACCCAGUAUUUCUGGUUCACUUGGAUGGGA